This is a long non-coding RNA of Cimex lectularius (bed bug), 442 nucleotides long. RefSeq lists it as uncharacterized. The transcript is spliced from 3 exons. Lineage: Eukaryota; Metazoa; Arthropoda; Insecta; Hemiptera; Cimicidae. The record is from RefSeq and is a predicted model, not a curated record.
AGCACGUGCUGCCCAUAAAACCGUGUUAUGACGAAAUCAAAGACAUGGCGGACUUAUAAAAAUAUCCCAUUGCCAUUUUAAUAUUUAAUUUCAUUUGUGAAAUUUACUUUUGAGGUGUGCUAGUAAGGACUACGAAACAGAAAAAAAUUUGGUUGCAGUCAACCUGGUAUUCCUAUCCUCUAUCUCCUUUGGCCUUUGAGAAUUUUAACAAUUUUCUCUCCACUCUCGUGACUUCAUCACUCACGAAGUCACUCUCAUACCGGGGAAGGGAUAUCACUUUCACUCUAUAAAAAUCUGCAGGAUAGUUGACCGAUUAUGUGGGGGAGACGAAAUUUGUCUUCAAGACAUCUUAAAUGGUGCAAAGUCCAGGUAUGAACAAUAUAAAAGUUACAAUAAUUAAUAAAAACAGUGUUUCAUAUUUACUUUAAUGAAAUGAACGUUA